RNAcentral lists this ribosomal RNA (253 nucleotides) under uncultured bacterium. Its description in RNAcentral is "partial 16S ribosomal RNA". It matches the Rfam family "Bacterial small subunit ribosomal RNA", at positions 524 to 776 of the family's 1533-position model. The record is from RNAcentral.
UACGUAGGUGGCAAGCGUUGUCCGGAUUUACUGGGCGUAAAGAGCGCGCAGGCGGUCGUUCAAGUCGCGUGUGAAAGCCCCCGGCUCAACUGGGGAGGGUCACGCGAUACUGAUCGACUCGAAGGCAGGAGAGGGUAGUGGAAUUCCCGGUGUAGUGGUGAAAUGCGUAGAUAUCGGGAGGAACACCAGUGGCGAAGGCGACUACCUGGCCUGUUCUUGACGCUGAGGCACGAAGGUCAGGGGAGCAAACGGG